Molecule: long non-coding RNA, 1695 nt
Organism: Gallus gallus (chicken)
Lineage: Eukaryota; Metazoa; Chordata; Aves; Galliformes; Phasianidae
Source: Ensembl
UGUCAGCAAAAGCUGGUAAAGAUUAGCUUUAAAAGAUUGAGUAGUAUCAACAGCUGCCUUGGGAAUUCGUUAGGGAAAAGGGAACAGUUCUGACCUUUGAGUCCGUGUUUCAGCGCCUUUCUGAUAUGCGUCAGAACAAAAGUUCAAGUUGUGCCUCACUUUGCUUUGUCACACCUUGCUGCAUGUAAAGCAGAGAACAGGAAUUUGGGAGAAGCCAGGCUGAGGCUCAUCUCCUUACCUUCAGAGCUGCCGUACCAACUGAUGUUGGCACAGAUUUCUGACUGGCUUUUGUAUAUGGAAAUCGAAGUCCCUGGAGGAAGCAAGGGGUUUCAUGCUGUGGGCUGACAUUUGACCUCCCAAUGGAGGGACAGCAGAUGGCAGGACCUCACAGACUCAUUUCUGUCUCCUCUAUCCCUGAACAAACACAGUCACAAAGGAGCAUACAAGAGAAAAUCUCUUCAGAAAUGUGCAUUCACUUCACUGACUAGAAGUAUAAAUACGUACAGAAAAAGAAAGGCUUCGCGGAGUCCAUCCACUAUAGAAUGAGUUUGUAGAAACAAAGUGACUAUCUGAAAAGGGAUUUCAUUUUUUUAGUCAAAAUUUGCAAUUGGCAAUUGCAAUUGGGUAGCAACUGGCUUGAGAAGAAGAAAGGCCAAAUAAGUUUCUGGAAAACUCAAUGCUAAAAGCCAGUCAGCCAAAAGACAAAGUCAAGAUACAAAACUACAGACAUUGGACAAACUCCUCAGCAAUCCUGAAUUAGGGCCUUGUACUGCACUCCCGUUAUUAGUGAUUUGCAGUACCAAGUAAAUCCCUCAUAAGGAUAUUUUUUAAGUACCCCUUCACUGUCCUGACUUUAUCAAGGCUCCAGAGGAUGUCAGUGUGGAGUAUUUCUUUCUCACCUCUUUUACCUCUUGUUUCAAAGUCAGCCACAAUUCCCUGUGAAGGGUCAGGUCAGGGUCUGCCUGGAGAAGAUUUCAACCUGGACGGGAAGGGAACAGAAUCCCUUUACCCGGAGUAACUCUGUCCCUAACCCGCUGCCACUUUGGGAUUCAUGUGCAUCUUUGCAUCUGUGGAGCAGCGUCUGGCUCCAGCUGGGCUGAGUCACCAGCAGCACACAGCUUAUGGAGCAAUGCAAGGUCCUGCAUGAAAAAUGUUCACUUCGUGGCACUUGAGAGAAAUACUUCCACAAGCAAAAUUCCUACAGGAAUUACAGUGCUGUGCAUAUAUAGGAAACAAAACAGAAGACAAAGAAAAGACAUCACCAUGAUUUAUAGGAGUUGCUGUCGGGCUACCAAGAUAAAGUAGGUGCCUUUCCCCUCUGUCACAUACAGACAUCACUUGCAGCAUCUUCAUUCUUUCUCCGACACAUUCAAAUAAAUGUGUGCAUUCUUUCCAAACUAAUUAUAUUCCAAGCAACAUUUAGAAGUCAGUCAAGUUCCUGACAGCAUGGUCUUGGAUCUCAGACUGUUUUAGGAAAGUCGCUGGCUGCUUAUAGGAAGAAGGACAGAUGGACAGAGGUUUCAGUACCAGGGCCCUCACACGCAGAGCAUGCAGGAAGCACUUCAGCAUUAUCUAAGCCCAUUAAUUUCCAGUAUUGUACAGACUUACCACUAAAAAGAAUAUAUACGUGUAUAUAUGUGUGUGUUUAUAUAUAUACGCAUAUGGAAGGCUAUUCAUUGACCUUAUCAAGAUUAA